CACUGAAUUUUUAAAGAGCCGCAGUAUUUUGACUGUGCAAAGGUAGCAUAAUCAUUAGUAUAUUAAUUGUAUACUGGAAUGAAAGGUUUGACGAGAAAUAUACUGUCUCUUUUUAAUUUAUAGAAUUUUACUUUUUAGUUAAAAGGCUAAAAUUUUUUUUUUGGACGAUAAGACCCUAUAGAAUUUAAUUUAUUAUUUAUUAUUAAUUUGGGCUAUUUUAUAUUUUUAUGUUAUAAUUAAAUUUAGUUGGGGCGAUUUGAAUAAUUAAUAAACUGUUCAUUUAUUUUUUCAUUGAUUAAUGUUUUUUUUGAUCCUUUAUUAUAGAUUAUAAGAUUAAAUUACCUUAGGGAUAACAGCGCAAUCAUCUUUGAGAGUUCUUAUUGACAGGAUGGAUUGUGACCUCGAUGUUGGAUUAAGAUUAUUAAUUAGGUGAAGAUGCUUAAAUUAUUGGUCUGUUCGACCAUU
RNAcentral lists this ribosomal RNA (465 nucleotides) under Eucriotettix oculatus. RNAcentral's name for it is "partial 16S ribosomal RNA". It matches the Rfam family "Bacterial large subunit ribosomal RNA", at positions 1910 to 2589 of the family's 2925-position model. Lineage: Eukaryota; Metazoa; Arthropoda; Insecta; Orthoptera; Tetrigidae. The record is from RNAcentral.